This 440-nucleotide ribosomal RNA is filed under the name uncultured bacterium. RNAcentral describes it as "partial 16S ribosomal RNA". It matches the Rfam family "Bacterial small subunit ribosomal RNA", at positions 338 to 795 of the family's 1533-position model. The record is from RNAcentral.
CCUACGGGUGGCAGCAGUGGGGAAUAUUGCACAAUGGGGGAAACCCUGAUGCAGCGACGCCGCGUGUGUGAAGAAGUAUUUCGGUACGUAAAGCUCUAUCAGCCGGGAAGAAAAUGACGGUACCUGACUCCGAAGCCACGGCUAACUACGUGCCAGCAGCCGCGGUAAUACGUAGGGGGCAAGCGUUAUCCGGUUUUACUGGGUGUAAAGGGAGCGUAGACGGCAGCGCAAGUCUGGAGUGAAAUCCCGGGGCCCAACCCCGGAACUGCUCUGGAAACUGUGAAGCUGGAGUGCAGGAGAGGGAAGCGGAAUUCCUGGUGUAGCGGUGAAAUGCGUAGAGAUCAGGAGGAACACCGGCGGCGAAGGCGGCUUACUGGACUGUAACUGACGUUGAGGCUCGAAGGCGUGGGGAGCAAACAGGAUUAGAUACCCUGGUAGUC